This 855-nucleotide ribosomal RNA is filed under the name uncultured bacterium. RNAcentral describes it as "bacterial SSU rRNA". It matches the Rfam family "Bacterial small subunit ribosomal RNA", at positions 49 to 916 of the family's 1533-position model. The record is from RNAcentral.
UAACACAUGCAAGUCGAACGAGAACGGAUUAUAGCUUGCUAUAAUUGUCAGCUAAGUGGCGCACGGGUGAGUAAUAUAUAGUUACCUGCCCUCAAGAAAGGAAUAACAGUUGGAAACGACUGCUAAUGCCCUAUAUGCCUUUAAUACAUAAGUAUGCAAGGGAAACGCUUUAGUGCUUGAGGAUGGGACUGUAUGGUAUCAGCUUGUUGGUGAGGUAAUGGCUCACCAAGGCUAUGACGCCUAACUGGUUUGAGAGGAUGAUCAGUCACACUGGAACUGAGACACGGUCCAGACUCCUACGGGAGGCAGCAGUGGGGAAUAUUGCACAAUGGACGAAAGUCUGAUGCAGCAACGCCGCGUGGAGGAUGACACAUUUCGGUGCGUAAACUCCUUUUAUAUGGGAAGUAAUGACGGUACCAUAUGAAUAAGCACCGGCUAACUCCGUGCCAGCAGCCGCGGUAAUACGGAGGGUGCAAGCGUUACUCGGAAUCACUGGGCGUAAAGAGCGUGUAGGCGGGUAUAUAAGUCAGAAGUGAAAUCCAAUAGCUUAACUAUUGAACUGCUUUUGAAACUGUGUACCUAGAAUGUGGGAGAGGUAGAUGGAAUUUCUGGUGUAGGGGUAAAAUCCGUAGAGAUCAGAAGGAAUACCGAUUGCGAAGGCGAUCUACUGGAACAUUAUUGACGCUGAGACGCGAAAGCGUGGGGAGCAAACAGGAUUAGAUACCCUGGUAGUCCACGCCCUAAACGAUGCACACUAGUUGUUGUGAGGCUAGACCUUGCAGUAAUGCAGUUAACACAUUAAGUGUGCCGCCUGGGGAGUACGGUCGCAAGAUUAAAACUCAAAGGAAUUGACGG